This 202-nucleotide long non-coding RNA is filed under the name Elaeis guineensis (African oil palm). RNAcentral describes it as "long non-coding RNA (EGUI_LNC015128)". The record is from RNAcentral. Lineage: Eukaryota; Viridiplantae; Streptophyta; Magnoliopsida; Arecales; Arecaceae.
GAUGAGUAAUUUGUUUUAAAUUUUACCUAACAUCAAAAAUUUCUUUUUGCGGUGAUUUUUUCUUAAUAAAAAUAUUAAUAUUAUCGUCUAGCUACAAAAAAAAUGCUAAGAAGUAAGGAAGAGAGUGGGAGCAGGCAUGCUCAUGAAGAUGGUAGGAUAAAUGGAAUGAUGUUAUUAAUUUGGUGUUUCAUGAAUCACAUCA